GGGGAAUAUUGGACAAUGGGGGCAACCCUGAUCCAGCAAUGCCGCGUGUGUGAAGAAGGCCUUCGGGUUGUAAAGCACUUUUAUCGGGAACGAAACAUUGUCGGCCAAUACCCGGCAAGACUGACGGUACCCGAGGAAUAAGCACCGGCUAACUCCGUGCCAGCAGCCGCGGUAAUACGGAGGGUGCAAGCGUUAAUCGGAAUUACUGGGCGUAAAGCGUGCGCAGGCGGUUUGUUAAGUCUGCUGUGAAAUCCCCGAGCUCAACUUGGGAAUUGCAGUGGAUACUGGCAAGCUGGAGUACGGUAGAGGAAGGUGGAAUUCCCGGUGUAGCAGUGAAAUGCGUAGAGAUCGGGAGGAACACCAGUGGCGAAGGCGGCCUUCUGGACCAGUACUGACGCUCAUGCACGAAAGCGUGGGGAGCAAACA
Molecule: ribosomal RNA, 426 nt
Filed under: uncultured bacterium
Lineage: Bacteria
Description: bacterial SSU rRNA
Rfam family: Bacterial small subunit ribosomal RNA
Source: RNAcentral